Molecule: long non-coding RNA, 210 nt
Organism: Rosa rugosa (rugosa rose)
Lineage: Eukaryota; Viridiplantae; Streptophyta; Magnoliopsida; Rosales; Rosaceae
Exons: 2
Source: RefSeq, a predicted model, not a curated record
CCGCGAGCUAUGGUUAAAUGAAGGAACUCGUUUGCGUGGUCGCCCAAUAGUACUUUUGCAGGCGAAAUUAGUUGAGGUCGGGCGUACAUGGAGUCGAGGCAUAGCCAACAGCAUUGCUUCCGCGUACUCAUUCUAUUUCUGUUUUCUUUGUUACCUAGUGGAUUAGUAUUGCUCUGAUAACCUAUGGGAUUAAUAUUGUUUUUGGGUUGA